GAUGAACGCUAGCUACAGGCUUAACACAUGCAAGUCGAGGGGCAGCGGUAUCGAAAGCUUGCUUUCGGUAGCCGGCGACCGGCGCACGGGUGAGUAACGCGUAUCGAACCUGCCUCAUACUCGGGAAUAGCCUUGCGAAAGUAAGAUUAAUGCCCGGUGUUUUCAGAUUCCCGCAUGAGGGUUUGAACAAAGAUUUAUCGGUAUGAGAUGGCGAUGCGUCCCAUUAGCUUGUUGGCGGGGUAACGGCCCACCAAGGCAUCGAUGGGUAGGGGUUCUGAGAGGAAGGUCCCCCACAUUGGAACUGAGACACGGUCCAAACUCCUACGGGAGGCAGCAGUGAGGAAUAUUGGUCAAUGGGCGGAAGCCUGAACCAGCCAAGUAGCGUGCAGGAAGACGGCCCUCCGGGUUGUAAACUGCUUUUAGUUGGGAAUAAAACGGGGCUCGUGAGCCCCCUUGCAUGUACCAUCAGAAAAAGGACCGGCUAAUUCCGUGCCAGCAGCCGCGGUAAUACGGAAGGUCCGGGCGUUAUCCGGAUUUAUUGGGUUUAAAGGGAGCGCAGGCGGACCUUUAAGUCAGCUGUGAAAUACGGCGGCUCAACCGUCGAACUGCAGUUGAUACUGGAGGUCUUGAGUGCACACAGGGAUGCUGGAAUUCAUGGUGUAGCGGUGAAAUGCUCAGAUAUCAUGAAGAACUCCGAUCGCGAAGGCAGGCAUCCGGGGUGCAACUGACGCUGAGGCUCGAAAGUGCGGGUAUCAAACAGGAUUAGAUACCCUGGUAGUCCGCACAGUAAACGAUGAAUACUCGCGGUUUGCGAUACAAUGUAAGCCGCCAAGCGAAAGCGUUAAGUAUUCCACCUGGGGGAGUACGCCGGCAACGGUGAAACUCAAAGGAAUUGACGGGGGCCCGCACAAGCGGAGGAACAUGUGGUUUAAUUCGAUGAUACGCGAGGAACCUUACCCGGGCUUGAACUGCCAGCGACGGAUGCAGAGACGCAUCUUUCUUCGGACGCUGGCGGAGGUGCUGCAUGGUUGUCGUCAGAUCGUGCCGUGAGGUGUCGGCUUAAGUGCCAUAACGAGCGCAACCCUCAUCCUCGUUUGCCAUCAGGUGAUGCUGGGCACUCCGGGGACACUGCCAUCGUAAGAUGUGAGGAAGGUGGGGAUGACGUCAAAUCAGCACGGCCCUUACGUCCGGGGCUACACACGUGUUACAAUGGGCGGUACAGAGGGCAGCCACUGCGCGAGCAGGAGCCAAUCCUCAAAGCCGUUCUCAGUUCGGACUGGAGUCUGCAACCCGACUCCACGAAGCUGGAUUCGUUAGUAAUCGCGCAUCAGCCAUGGCGCGGUGAAUACGUUCCCGGGCCUUGCACACACCGCCCGUCAAGCCAUGAAAGCCGGGAGCACUUGAAGGCCGUGACCGCAAGGGUCGGUCUAGAGUGAUACUGGUAA
This 1445-nucleotide ribosomal RNA is filed under the name uncultured organism. RNAcentral's name for it is "SSU rRNA". It matches the Rfam family "Bacterial small subunit ribosomal RNA". The record is from RNAcentral.